CCAAAUCUCAUCUUGAAUUGUAGCUUGCAUAAUUCCCACAUAUUGCGAAAGGGAUCUGGUUGGAGAUAAUUGAAUCAAAAGGGCCAGUCUUUCCCGUGCUAUUAUCAUGAUAGUGCAUAAGUCUCGUGAGCUCUGAUGGUUUUAUAAAGGGCAGUUUAACUGCAGAAGCUGUCAUCUCUUGUCUGCCGCCAUGUGAGAUAUGCCUUUCAGCUUCCAGCAUGAUUGUGAGGCCUCCUCAGCACAUGGAACUAAGGAGUGUUAAGUCUGAUAUUGAAGAAUCCAGUUUAUCCAGGUCAGUGAAAUCCAGAAUGUUCUGUCUGGCAUCAUUAAUUGUGGAGCUGAAGAUGUGUAGAUUUCUAAAUCUAUAAACAGAUGUGAUAUACAGGCUGUAUACAUGUUAGGGUCCCUGUACAAGGUUUUCCUUUCAUGUCAUUAAAUAAAAAUACUGGCAGCUUCUUCUUGUGUUUCUGAAAUCAUUUGGCAUUCACAACUUUAAUAAUAUGAACAAACUGAUUUGUAGUAUUGUUUUCUCUCUCUCUCUCUCUCUCUCACACACACACACGCACACACACACACACACACACACAGGCAGAAGAGGUAGAGACAGAGAAUCACUUCAUUCCACUCUAUUAUUCUAUUGGUCAGACAAAUCUGGUCAUGCUUUCCAUGUAAGAAUUGAUAUUAUUUAGAACAAGAAUAACAUAUUUUUUAAUUUACUAUAGUCCAAGAAACAAACACGUUUUACCCAGUUGUUUUAAACGUAUGUGUUAAUUCAAGUCUAGAAGGGGGCUCCUGGGUCUGUCCUAAGUCCCAUUGUGAUCACUUCAGCCAAGGCUUGCUUUGAAUUCCUGAGGCUCCUUGCUCCUCAGAUGAACAGGCGACACCACACUACAGCAGCAUUAAUUCUCCAUGACACACUGAAAUUUUGCCAUUCGAGGAUCAAGGUAAGCUUGCCUUUGUUUUGCAUUGUGGUAAUUUCAACUGCCAAAAUUCGUCCCUCAUUCAAAUUGAGCUGAGCUGAACUCAUCCCAUUGUUAAGCAGAUUUGUCCAAUUAUUUAUUCCCAGAUUAAGAACCAAGCUAGUCCUGUUUGUUUAUUGUUAUGCAAAAUAGUCACACUUGUAUACUAAAAAGGAGAAAAUAUUUAUGUGGAUAUCACUUUUUAACAUUUAGUAUUAUAUUAAUGUUCAGGUUUCUGUAUGACAAAUCAAGGUAUGUUAGGUCCUCAUUCUAGUCACAUUUUAAUAUGUAGCCUGAACAUGCGUAUAUUUGAGGUCUUGAUUAUAAUACAUAGUGAAUCAUUUCCAACUACUUUUACUUAGAGUUAUUUUUGUAACAAUUCCAUUGGGUGCAAGGUGUCAGUAAAAUUUUUAAAUGUAUCAUUUAAAAAUUAUUGCACAUUUUCUCUUUUCACUUUGAUAAUAAUGUGCAAUUCAAGAAGUUGGAACAUAAAUUUGGAAAAUAUGGAAGAAAAAAAUAAUAUAAUGUACGGGAAGUCCUGUCCACUCACUCAGCUUGAGGUGACAAUAAGGAGAAAAUAUAUUUACUUUGGAGAGUGCUACAGAAAGCAUUCAUUCAUACUUCCUGACGUUAUUUCUAAAAAUUAUUAGUUCUCAGUACUGGGAGCACUCUAACUCACCAGAUAGGGACUCUCACAUUCUUAUAACUUGUUACCAGAUUCAAGCUGUGGUAAGUAACCCUUUUAUUCCUAGAUGGCCUACAGAGAGGUUCUCUGGCUGAUUUCAGAUAUGAUUUUUUUUCACAGUAAGAAUGCUAGUAGAAUAGGUGGGAGGAAUAUAAUAUAAUAAAAUUUUGUUCUCUUUUCCUCCCCUCUAGAUAUUUUCCAACUGGUGCAAGUUUUGUUGUCAUGGCUAAUAAAAAUAAAGGCCAGACCUUCCUGUUCUUAGCCAAUAAGGGGUCAAGAUAUUAAACUGAGACAUAGUAGAAGUUUAUGCUCAAAUAUCACCAUAUUCACGAGACUUGGCCUGAUCCCCAAACUGCCACCACCACACUAAAAUUAAAAUAAUUUCUCAAGAACUGUAGAUCUCCUUUUUCAUUAUCUCUUUAUCCAUAGGAAUUUUAUAUGCUAUCAUGGUACUUAUUAUUUUUGUUUGUUUGUCAAUCUCCCUUCUAAAUUAUUACCUAAUGAAAGACAGGAAUUUUUUUGGUCUGUCUCUUUGUUUAUUUGUUUGUUUUGUUCGCUGAUAUAUUCCCAACAUCUAGAAAGUGCCUCAAACAUAAUGGGUCCUUCAGAAAUAUUUGCCCAAUAAAAUACUGAAAUCUCUUUUGGCUGGAAAAACCUUUGAUGUCUCGUUUUACAUCUCUUCAUUGAAAGGUCAGAGUUGAACACUUUCAUUCAUCCAAAGAGAGAAGGGCUCCGGUGAUAGAAUGUGUAAUUGGAAAUGCAACCUCUAGGGGCGUGCUGGAUCUUGGCUCUACUUACUGUGUGAUUUGGGGAAAAUUGCUCAACAUCUCUGUGCCUUAUUUUCUUAAUAGACAUAUUAUCUCACAUUGUAACUCAGUUAUCAAGAUAAAAUGGGGUUCACACUUUAGAUAAACAGCUUGUGGUGAGUUCAGUAAUAAGAAUGCAUAGGUUCUUAUUACCAUGACAGAUAACUUACUGCUUUUCCACACAGAGCACAGCAUGAGAAGCAAUAGCACCCUAAGAUAUUGGAUAUCCUAGGUUUUUUAUUAUGGUAAUUACAUUGUCAUUUGGAGUCAUUUCUAUGGCAACAAAACUAAUUUCAUAAAUAAUAUGAUUAUAAAAUAUUUAAUAGAAUUUUUCCCCUAAAUGACAUCAUAGAUACUAGAUUCUGAAAACUGGUAUUGGUUUAAGUCACAAUUCAGCAAACUAAAACAAAAGUGUUUCCUCUUUUUAUUUUUUCUCUUUAUUUUUUUUCUGUUUGUAUUUCUUCCUCAGAGAAUAUUAAAACUCAAUUGGCAACAGGAGUAUUGACAGAAUUUGCAGUUAGUUCUGGGUUUUUGAAUUGUCUAUUACACUUGAGAAUAGUAAUGUGAAAGGAAUUAAUAUUUAGAGUAUAAAUGGCAGAAAUGUUUAUAUUUAGUUCUGACUUUUAUUUAUGCUUUGUAAAUUUUGUAGAUGUUGGCUCAUGAUGAAAUAGUUUAAUGUAUUUUACGACUCACUGGAACUUUGGAAAGUAAGAUACUCAAGAGUGUUUGAAUUGAAAACUUCCACUUAGAAAGUUUUCAGAAAGUUAAUAGAUCUUAUCAUAUAAUAUGACAAACAUAUCAAUUAUAUAAGGAAUUGAUACACACAAGUCUGGGUUGGUUAAGACAUAUUAGUGUGAGCUUAUAUAACUAAUAAUUAACUUUAUAAAAUUAAACUGAGAACUAAUUUUUUUGAGAUUUGUUUUUUCUAUGGAAGCAGAAUGUUUAGAAAAUCUCUCUGAACAUGAGAAAUAGGGUUUAUCCUUAAUGUUAUGACAUACUAAAUGAUUGCCAAUAGAAUAGUUGCUAUUAUGUGGAACUCAGUUUAUAACCCUGUCCAGUAAGCUUGGAUGAACGAAACAGGGGAAAAGUGGGAGUACAGUUUGAGAUGGAAAAUAGAAUAGUGAGUUCUCUUAAAUGGGAAUAGUUUUAAGAAUGUGUUCCAUUGACUCCUAACGUUUAUCAACAAUAGUUUAUAUCAACAAUAGUUUAUUGGUAAUGAAAAUGUGUAAUUUCAGCCUUUGUUUUAGCUGCUUUUAAAAUAAAUAAGAAUGGAGAAGGUAGACAUGGAGGAGAAAGAUGAGCACCUGCCUAGGCUAACGUAACUCUAGGCACUUAGAUACAGAUUACAUUCACAAUGCCAAGCAGAAGACAACUCAUCCUGUUGUUAUAUUUUUGUUCUCUCUAUUCUUCCAUUUCUCUUCUAAAAUCCCUCAUUUUUCAUGUACAUCAUCCACAUUUUCCAUUGGAAAAUUUUGUAUAUUUAUCCUUGCUGUUUUUAAGUCAUUAGCUGCUAAUCACAACAUCUAGGUUAUCUGUCUCUUUGUAUUAGCAUUGUUGGGGAUUUUUGUCCAUUGAUUAUGAAUUGCACUCUCAUUUUCUUUGCUUUGCUUUGUUUUUAUGUUCUAGAUAUUUUGUAUAUAACAAGAGAAGCACCUAAUGCAAAUAAAAUGUAUCCCCUGAAGAAAGACUACUGCCAGGUUGAAGGAAACGGUCAAAUUUACAUGAACAAGAGCUUGUUAUGAGAUUUAGUGGACAGAAUUCUUUUUUUGAGGUGGGAAGAUGUGUGCAAUGGCGCAAUCUCACCUCACUGCAACCUCUGCCUUCUGGAUUCAAGCGAUUCUCCUGCCUCAGCCUCCCGAAUGCUGGGAUUACAGGCACCUGCCACCAUGCCCAGCUAAUAUUUUGUAUUUUUUUUUUUUUAGUAGAGAUGGGGUUUCACCAUGUUGACCAGGUUGGUCUUGAACUCCUGAACUCAGGUGAUCUGCUUGCCUUGACCUCCCAAAGUGCCGGGAUUACAGGUGUGAGCCACCGCCCAUGAUCCCUCCCCAGGUGCACAUGCUGUGUAUAUGCCCCUGGCCUUGGGUGGGACUGUUAAUAUGACGGAGCAUCACUCUUGUGAUUAGUUUAUAAUAUAUCACAAAACUGAAGGAAGUUUUAGAUGUAAUUAAGGUUCAAAACAGUUGAUUUCAAGAUAUCAAAAGGGAGAGUAACUUGGAUGGGUCUGAUUUAUUCAGAUGAGGGGAUUUCAAAGGGUCAGAGAUGCAAAGAGAGAAAGAUUCUCACAGUAACUUAGAACAAGUAACCUACUAUGUUGGUUUUGUGAACUACAGGGUAAAGCACUGCAGGAGGCCGUUGGUUGCUGAGAGCAGCCCCAGGAUGUCAGUUGGCAAGAAAAGAGGGACCUCUGUCCUACAACCUCAAGGAACUGAAUACAGCCCAAACUAUGCUAACUGGAAAGAGGACUCCAAGCCUCAGAUGAGAGCUCAUCACUGGCUGACAACUUUUGACACCUUGAGCAGAGGACUCAGUUAACCUGCACCCAAUGCUUAUGUCUCCCCCAAAUUAAUCCUAACCCCCAAAGGGGUGAUAUGGGAGGUGGAGACUCUGGGACGUGAUUAGAUAAUGAGGGCAGAGCCCUCGUGAGUGAAAUUAGUGCCCUUAUAAAAGAGGUCUAAGGAAGACCCCUCACUCUUUCUACCUUGUUGAGGACAGAGGUGCUGUUUAUGAAGUGGGACCUGGUCAGACACCUAUACUUAGAGGAUAUCCAUUCCCUAAUUUCCAGAAACUGUUAAUAUGUUGCCUUAUGUGGCAAAAGAGACAUUGAAAAUGUGACUGACCCUAUGGAUCUUGAGAGGGAGAGUUAUCCUGGAUUGUCUGAGUGAACUCAGAACAAGAGUACAUAAAAGUAGAAAAUAAUUGUCUGCUGAGGUAAGGCAACCAGGCUGCUUGCUACUGCUGACAAGAUCAGGUGGUUACCGGGAAUCUCUUAAUUCACCUUCAUGGACUUCAGGGGCACAUUUUCUGCCUUGUUCUUACCAGCUUCUUAUUUCCUGGGGACCAAUAUCAUUCCUCAUACAUGUUCUCAUAUUUCAUUUUGCCUACCUCUUUUUUUUUUUGACCCUUCUACCUGACUAUCCUGACCUUCCUUGGUGUGUUCCCAUCAAAAUGUCCCUAGCCUAUGUUUGCCCAAUGAAACUGUGCACACAUUUAACCUUGGACUUUCCGUAAUGUGUUAACAUUGUUUUGUAAAUACCCCAAGACUCACUUGGGGCAUUAUGACUCACUAACUUUUGUCUUGAAGGAGGACGGAUUGAACAUGCUUACUGUAGAAAAGGUGACAAGUCUUACUAAAAAGAGAAAAUAAAAACCAAGUCAUGGAUGUACUAGAAAAUCUGUUGUUUAUAGAAGACAAGCAG
Molecule: long non-coding RNA, 5866 nt
Filed under: Homo sapiens (human)
Lineage: Eukaryota; Metazoa; Chordata; Mammalia; Primates; Hominidae
Description: HSALNT0205030
Source: RNAcentral